Molecule: non-coding RNA, 31 nt
Filed under: Mus musculus (house mouse)
Lineage: Eukaryota; Metazoa; Chordata; Mammalia; Rodentia; Muridae
Source: RNAcentral
UAGACUGUAUGAUAUAUGGCUUGAUGUCCUU